UUCUCUUCAUACCUCUACUCUCUCACUCCUCCCUCUGUCUAUUGGUAUUUUUUACUGGGUAAUCUUAUUCUCAUCUUGUGUUUCUUCUAUUGAUUUAUUUCAGUCCUUCAUAAUAUGCUAGAUAUUUGUGUUUUUCCCUUAAUAGAGAAGGAUUCCUGUAGAGAAAGUGCAAUAUGUUAAUAAAUUUUGUUAUAUAGGUGUUUGACAAAAUUCUUCAACCAGGUUUUCAAUUAGAUUUCUUAUGCAUGCUCCUGUAUCUUAUUAUCUCUGGUUUCACUCUUUGGUUGCAUUUUGAGUAAGGACUGCCAUGUACUUUUUUAAUCUCUCAUUUUCAAUUGGAUAAUGAUUCUGAUUCUUCUUUUUUACUUAGUAUUUUAGACUGUUGAUUUGUGCCUCUAUAUUUUCCUAUUUCUUGCUGCAUCAUUUUAAUUUCUAAUAUAUCACCAUUAGAUGUUGUUAGAAGGGUAUUUAUUUGAAUUGUUCUGUUACUGAAACAAACUUCAUACUAAUGUGAAGAAGAAGAAGAAGAAAAAGAGCCAGUGCUUUGUAAUUUUUCUUUCUUGAAUGAAUACCUUGCAACAAAUAAAUUAUCUUACUAUGUUUUUGGGCUGCAUUGGGCUGCAUUCAUAGCAUAUAACAUUUUUCUAGGUUUUUGAGCAUAUUAGAUAAGUGAGUCAGGUAAGUCACCAAUACUUCAAUAGGUAUGAAUACCUUGUGGUGGUAAAGAAUGUCAUGCUUUUCAUAUUGCUAUAUAUUUUUUCUUAAUAUACGGAAUUAGUUAUAACUAAAAACUAUUGCUAUAGGUUAAAGAUAAUGAAAAGGGCAUCAACACACAGGUAGCAUACAAAAAUUUAAAAGGGCGACAAUUUCAAGAUUCAACCAUGUACUCCUCUUCGUUUGAGCCGUGGUAGCUUUUACAUCACUUUUCAAAUUUCUUUGACCUUUUUGCAAGUACAUAGCAGCCAUUGGAAAGUGUAAAUUUUCAUUAUAAAUUUCUUAUGCAGAGGAUUUUGAAAAUGAGAGUCCAGCAUCUUAAGCAAAUUGAUCAAAUCCUAGCAUCUCUACAACAUAAUGUAAAAUGCCUUAACACCAUAACUGUAGUAUUUCCCAAUGGAUUUCUUAGUACCCUUAGAUAAACCCGCUACUAUCCUUGUCCAGUUUAUCUUAAAGCAUGAGGUAGCCAACCUUUGAGUUAAGAAGCUUGAUUUGGGUUGUGAAGUAGUUAUCCUGGAAGUAUCUGAAAUUUUAUUUGUUGUCGCAGGCUUCAUUGCGACUCUAUUCGUCUUAAAAUUCAAUACAACAAGUUCUAAAACUGAGUGAUACUUGUUUUUUUCUUUGCAGCAGGUGGAGACUCAAUUGUCUCUAAUUGAUCCUAUUAUUGACCAAGGCCCGCUCAAGAGAACGAUAGUAUGAGAUAUGAUUGGCGUGUAAAACUGUUGCAUGGGAACAAGAACUGGGACAAGGUUGUCUAGAUAGUUCAGAGUGAUAGUUCAACCAAAAGUUUCUUCCACAAGGGAUUUUGUUGUAGAUUACUUGGCAUUGAAUCUAAUCUUAUGGUGAGACUGC
Molecule: long non-coding RNA, 1566 nt
Filed under: Nicotiana tabacum (common tobacco)
Lineage: Eukaryota; Viridiplantae; Streptophyta; Magnoliopsida; Solanales; Solanaceae
Description: long non-coding RNA (NTAB_LNC014312)
Source: RNAcentral